AUGAAUGGAUAAAUGAGGAUUUAACUGUCUCUUUCAUAAACAUAUAAAUUAAUCUACAGGUGAAAAAGCCUGUAUAAUAGUAAAAGACAAGAAGUCCCUGUUGAGCUUUACUUUAAUAUUAGCUACAAAAUAUUACCUCGUGCACAGAUACGGGCCAAUAUAUUUAAAUAAAUACCGUAAGUUUGGUUGGGGCGACAAGGGGGGACAAAAAGCCCCCCAUAAAAAUAUAGAUCUACAGAUCUCUCAUUUGAUCCGAAUAACCCCUUAUUCGACAAAGGAAAAAGUUACCACAGGGAUAACAGGCUAAUUCUUCUAAAGAGCCCACAUUGAUAGAAGAGAUUGGCACCUCGAUGUUGGCUUAGAAUAUCCUUUUGAUGCAGCAGUAUAAAGGGUUGGUUUGUUCGACCAUAAAAAUUC
This 417-nucleotide ribosomal RNA is filed under the name Micronephthys sp. 277 PB. RNAcentral describes it as "partial 16S ribosomal RNA". It matches the Rfam family "Bacterial large subunit ribosomal RNA", at positions 1992 to 2596 of the family's 2925-position model. The record is from RNAcentral. Lineage: Eukaryota; Metazoa; Annelida; Polychaeta; Phyllodocida; Nephtyidae.